Molecule: ribosomal RNA, 267 nt
Filed under: uncultured prokaryote
Description: partial 16S ribosomal RNA
Rfam family: Bacterial small subunit ribosomal RNA
Source: RNAcentral
UACGUAGGGUGCGAGCGUUGUCCGGAAUUACUGGGCGUAAAGAGCUCGUAGGUGGUUUGUCGCGUCGUCUGUGAAAUUCCGGGGCUUAACUUCGGGCGUGCAGGCGAUACGGGCAAUACUUGAGUGCUGUAGGGGAGACUGGAAUUCCUAGUGUAGCGGUGAAAUGCGUAGAGAUUAGGAAGAACACCAGUGGCGAAGGCGAUUCUCUGGGCAGUAACUGACGCUGAGGAGCGAAAGCAUGGGUAGCGAACAGGAUUAGAUACCCCU